This 263-nucleotide long non-coding RNA is filed under the name Brassica napus (rape). RNAcentral's name for it is "long non-coding RNA (BNAP_LNC006113)". Lineage: Eukaryota; Viridiplantae; Streptophyta; Magnoliopsida; Brassicales; Brassicaceae. The record is from RNAcentral.
UUGUGUUUUAACCUUGCUGUUUAGAGUGUUAGCAUUGUUAUAUUUUAGCGUCGUUGUUUAGUUUCAUUAUGCGUCUUUGCUACUAAUUUUCACUGUGAUGUCUGUAAAAAAUUAAAAAAUUGGUAUAAUUUAUGUGUGUUCCAAGUUAUUUUUUUUUAACACAUUAAUUCCAAGUUAGUUAUAUACAUUAAUUCCAUCGCCUCUGCAUGAUAAAAUUUACAAAGUAACAUUUUGUAAACGCUGAAUUGUUAUGACGCAAGAAA